Molecule: ribosomal RNA, 2641 nt
Filed under: Escherichia coli
Lineage: Bacteria; Pseudomonadati; Pseudomonadota; Gammaproteobacteria; Enterobacterales; Enterobacteriaceae
Description: partial 23S ribosomal RNA
Rfam family: Bacterial large subunit ribosomal RNA
Source: RNAcentral
GAACGGGGAGCAGCCCAGAGCCUGAAUCAGUGUGUGUGUUAGUGGAAGCGUCUGGAAAGGCGCGCGAUACAGGGUGACAGCCCCGUACACAAAAAUGCACAUGCUGUGAGCUCGAUGAGUAGGGCGGGACACGUGGUAUCCUGUCUGAAUAUGGGGGGACCAUCCUCCAAGGCUAAAUACUCCUGACUGACCGAUAGUGAACCAGUACCGUGAGGGAAAGGCGAAAAGAACCCCGGCGAGGGGAGUGAAAAAGAACCUGAAACCGUGUACGUACAAGCAGUGGGAGCACGCUUAGGCGUGUGACUGCGUACCUUUUGUAUAAUGGGUCAGCGACUUAUAUUCUGUAGCAAGGUUAACCGAAUAGGGGAGCCGAAGGGAAACCGAGUCUUAACUGGGCGUUAAGUUGCAGGGUAUAGACCCGAAACCCGGUGAUCUAGCCAUGGGCAGGUUGAAGGUUGGGUAACACUAACUGGAGGACCGAACCGACUAAUGUUGAAAAAUUAGCGGAUGACUUGUGGCUGGGGGUGAAAGGCCAAUCAAACCGGGAGAUAGCUGGUUCUCCCCGAAAGCUAUUUAGGUAGCGCCUCGUGAAUUCAUCUCCGGGGGUAGAGCACUGUUUCGGCAAGGGGGUCAUCCCGACUUACCAACCCGAUGCAAACUGCGAAUACCGGAGAAUGUUAUCACGGGAGACACACGGCGGGUGCUAACGUCCGUCGUGAAGAGGGAAACAACCCAGACCGCCAGCUAAGGUCCCAAAGUCAUGGUUAAGUGGGAAACGAUGUGGGAAGGCCCAGACAGCCAGGAUGUUGGCUUAGAAGCAGCCAUCAUUUAAAGAAAGCGUAAUAGCUCACUGGUCGAGUCGGCCUGCGCGGAAGAUGUAACGGGGCUAAACCAUGCACCGAAGCUGCGGCAGCGACGCUUAUGCGUUGUUGGGUAGGGGAGCGUUCUGUAAGCCUGUGAAGGUGUGCUGUGAGGCAUGCUGGAGGUAUCAGAAGUGCGAAUGCUGACAUAAGUAACGAUAAAGCGGGUGAAAAGCCCGCUCGCCGGAAGACCAAGGGUUCCUGUCCAACGUUAAUCGGGGCAGGGUGAGUCGACCCCUAAGGCGAGGCCGAAAGGCGUAGUCGAUGGGAAACAGGUUAAUAUUCCUGUACUUGGUGUUACUGCGAAGGGGGGACGGAGAAGGCUAUGUUGGCCGGGCGACGGUUGUCCCGGUUUAAGCGUGUAGGCUGGUUUUCCAGGCAAAUCCGGAAAAUCAAGGCUGAGGCGUGAUGACGAGGCACUACGGUGCUGAAGCAACAAAUGCCCUGCUUCCAGGAAAAGCCUCUAAGCAUCAGGUAACAUCAAAUCGUACCCCAAACCGACACAGGUGGUCAGGUAGAGAAUACCAAGGCGCUUGAGAGAACUCGGGUGAAGGAACUAGGCAAAAUGGUGCCGUAACUUCGGGAGAAGGCACGCUGAUAUGUAGGUGAAGUCCCUCGCGGAUGGAGCUGAAAUCAGUCGAAGAUACCAGCUGGCUGCAACUGUUUAUUAAAAACACAGCACUGUGCAAACACGAAAGUGGACGUAUACGGUGUGACGCCUGCCCGGUGCCGGAAGGUUAAUUGAUGGGGUCAGCGCAAGCGAAGCUCUUGAUCGAAGCCCCGGUAAACGGCGGCCGUAACUAUAACGGUCCUAAGGUAGCGAAAUUCCUUGUCGGGUAAGUUCCGACCUGCACGAAUGGCGUAAUGAUGGCCAGGCUGUCUCCACCCGAGACUCAGUGAAAUUGAACUCGCUGUGAAGAUGCAGUGUACCCGCGGCAAGACGGAAAGACCCCGUGAACCUUUACUAUAGCUUGACACUGAACAUUGAGCCUUGAUGUGUAGGAUAGGUGGGAGGCUUAGAAGUGUGGACGCCAGUCUGCAUGGAGCCGACCUUGAAAUACCACCCUUUAAUGUUUGAUGUUCUAACGUUGACCCGUAAUCCGGGUUGCGGACAGUGUCUGGUGGGUAGUUUGACUGGGGCGGUCUCCUCCUAAAGAGUAACGGAGGAGCACGAAGGUUGGCUAAUCCUGGUCGGACAUCAGGAGGUUAGUGCAAUGGCAUAAGCCAGCUUGACUGCGAGCGUGACGGCGCGAGCAGGUGCGAAAGCAGGUCAUAGUGAUCCGGUGGUUCUGAAUGGAAGGGCCAUCGCUCAACGGAUAAAAGGUACUCCGGGGAUAACAGGCUGAUACCGCCCAAGAGUUCAUAUCGACGGCGGUGUUUGGCACCUCGAUGUCGGCUCAUCACAUCCUGGGGCUGAAGUAGGUCCCAAGGGUAUGGCUGUUCGCCAUUUAAAGUGGUACGCGAGCUGGGUUUAGAACGUCGUGAGACAGUUCGGUCCCUAUCUGCCGUGGGCGCUGGAGAACUGAGGGGGGCUGCUCCUAGUACGAGAGGACCGGAGUGGACGCAUCACUGGUGUUCGGGUUGUCAUGCCAAUGGCACUGCCCGGUAGCUAAAUGCGGAAGAGAUAAGUGCUGAAAGCAUCUAAGCACGAAACUUGCCCCGAGAUGAGUUCUCCCUGACUCCUUGAGAGUCCUGAAGGAACGUUGAAGACGACGACGUUGAUAGGCCGGGUGUGUAAGCGCAGCGAUGCGUUGAGCUAACCGGUACUAAUGAACCGUGAG